Molecule: transfer RNA, 77 nt
Filed under: Deltaproteobacteria bacterium
Lineage: Bacteria; Pseudomonadati; Myxococcota; Myxococcia
Also listed under: 1 other name
Description: tRNA-Arg
Rfam family: tRNA
About the family: Transfer RNA (tRNA) molecules are approximately 80 nucleotides in length. Their secondary structure includes four short double-helical elements and three loops (D, anti-codon, and T loops).
Source: RNAcentral
GACCCAGUAGCUCAGCUGGAUAGAGCGUCUGCCUCCGGAGCAGAAGGUCGCAGGUUCGAAUCCUGCCUGGGUCGCCA